RNAcentral lists this ribosomal RNA (490 nucleotides) under uncultured bacterium. Its description in RNAcentral is "partial 16S ribosomal RNA". It matches the Rfam family "Bacterial small subunit ribosomal RNA", at positions 30 to 507 of the family's 1533-position model. The record is from RNAcentral.
AUUGAACGCUGGCGGCAGGCCUAACACAUGCAAGUCGAACGGUAACAGGGAUCAGCUUGCUGAUUCGCUGACGAGUGGCGGACGGGUGAGUAAUGUCUGGGAAACUGCCUGAUGGAGGGGGAUAACUACUGGAAACGGUAGCUAAUACCGCAUAACGUCGCAAGACCAAAGAGGGGGACCUUCGGGCCUCUUGCCAUCGGAUGUGCCCAGAUGGGAUUAGCUAGUAGGUGGGGUAACGGCUCACCUAGGCGACGAUCCCUAGCCGGUCUGAGAGGAUGACCAGCCACACUGGAACUGAGACACGGUCCAGACUCCUACGGGAGGCAGCAGUGGGGAAUAUUGCACAAUGGGCGCAAGCCUGAUGCAGCCAUGCCGCGUGUAUGAAGAAGGCCUUCGGGUUGUAAAGUACUUUCAGCGGGGAGGAAGGGAGUAAAGUUAAUACCUUUGCUCAUUGACGUUACCCGCAGAAGAAGCACCGGCUAACUCCGUG